Molecule: ribosomal RNA, 292 nt
Filed under: uncultured bacterium
Lineage: Bacteria
Description: partial 16S ribosomal RNA
Rfam family: Bacterial small subunit ribosomal RNA
Source: RNAcentral
GUGUCAGCCGCCGCGGUAAGACAGAGGGGGCAAGCGUUGCUCGGAAUCACUGGGCGUAAAGGGCGCGUAGGCGGGUCGGGAAGUCGGUCGUGAAAUCCGCGGGCUCAACCCGCGGGGGUCGGCCGAGACUUCCGGUCUUGAGGGGGGCAGAGGAGCCUGGAAUUCCCGGUGUAGCGGUGAAAUGUGUAGAGAUCGGGAGGAACACCGGUGGCGAAGGCGGGGCUCUGGGCCCACCCUGACGCUGAGGCGCGAAAGCGUGGGGAGCAAACGGGAUUAGAAACCCUCGUAGUCC